CGGAGGUGUCGUCCGUUCGGCACUAGAUCGGAGCGGAUCGUGGGACGGAUCGCGGGACGGUUCGUGGGACGGUUCGCGGGGCGGAUCGAGGGACAUGAGGACGUUCCACUACAUCAACCGCGUUUAUUAACGCUUCUGCUAUGCGAUCUACAAGGGUACGUAGAUCUGAAAUCCCCCUCGUAGAUGGACAUCACCAUGAUAGGUCUUCGUGCGCGUAGGAAAAUUUGUGUUUCCCAUGCGAUGUUCCCCAACAGUGGCAUCAUGAGCUAGGUUCAUGCAUAGAUGUCUUCUCGAGUAGAACACAAAAGUUUUUGUGGGCGGUGAUGUGCGAUUUGCUGCCCUCCUUAGUCUUUUCUUGAUUCCGCGGCAUUGUUGGAUCGAAGCGGCUCGGACCGACAUUACUCGUACGCUUACGAGAGACUGGUUUCAUCGCUACAAGUAACUCCGUUGCUCAAAGAUGACUGGCGAGUGUCAGUUUCUCCAACUUUAGUUGAAUCGGAUUUGACCGAGGAGGUCCUUGGAUGAGGGUAAAUAGCAAUUCAUAUAUCUCCGUUGUGGUGUUUGCGUAAGUAAGAUGCGAUCCUACUAGAUACCCAUGGUCACCACUUAAAACAUGAAACAACAAUUAGAGGACGUCUAACUUGUUUUUGCAGGGUAUGCUUGUGAUGUGAUAUGGCCAACGAUGUGAUGUGAUAUAUUGGAUGUAUGAGAUGAUCAUGUUGUAAUAGUUAAUAUCGACUUGCACGUCGAUGGUACAGCAACCGACAGGAGCCAUAGGGUUGUCUUUAAACUAACGUUUGUGCUUGCAGAUGCGUUUACUAUAUUGCUAGGGUGUAGCUUUAGUAGUAAUAGCAUGAGUAGCACAACAACCCCGAUGGCGACACGUUGAUGGAGAUCAUGGUGUCGCGCCGGUGACAGAAGAUCGUGUCAGUGCUUUGGUGAUGGAGAUCAAGAAGCAUGUGAUGAUGGCCAUAUCAUGUCACUUAUGAAUUACAUGUGAUGUUAAUCCUUUUAUGCACCUUAUUUUUCUUCGAACGACGGUAGCAUUAUGCGGUAAUAUCUCACUAAAAUUUCAAGACGAAAUUGUGUUCUUCCCGACUGUGCACCGUUGCUACAGUUCGUCAUUUCGAGACACCACAUGAUGAUCGGGUGUGAUAGACUCAACGUUCACAUACAACAGGUGCAAAACAGUUGCACACGCGAAACACUCGGAUUAAGCUUGACGAGCCUAGCAUGUGCAGACAUGGCCUCGGAACACAUGAAACCGAAAGGUCGAUCAUGAAUCAUAUAGUUGAUAUGAUUAGCAUAGGGAUGCUUACCACUGAAACUAUCCUCAACUCACGUGAUGAUCGGACUUGAGCUAGUGGAAUUGAAUCAUGAACCACUCAAAUGACUAGAGAGAUGUAGUUUUUGAGUGGGAGUUUAGCAAGUAAUUUGAUUAAGUUAAACUCUAAUUAUCUAGAACAUAGUCUAAGUCCACUUUGAAUAUAUUUGUGUUGUAGAUCAUGGCUCACGCGACAGUCACCCUGAAUUUUAAAACGUUCCUAGAGAAAGCUAAGUUGAAAGAUGAUGGAAGCAACUUUGUAGACUGGGCUCGUAAUCUUAAGUUGCUCCUGCAAGCUGGGAAGAAGGAUUAUGUCCUUAAUGCUGCGCUAGGAGAUGAACCACCCGCUACGGUUGACCAAGAUGUUAAGAACGCUUGGUUAACACGUAAGGAGGACUACUCAAUAGUUCAAUGUGCAGUCUUGUAUGGCUUAGAACCGGGACUUCAACGUCGCUUUGAGCGUCAUGGAGCAUAUGAGAUGUUCCAGGAGUUGAAGUUUAUCUUUCAGAAGAACGCCCGGAUCGAGAGGUAUGAGACCUCCGAUAAAUUCUAUGCUUGCAAGAUGGAGGAGAAUUCGUCUGUCAAUGAACAUGUGCUCAAAAUGUCUGGGUACUCAAACCGUCUAGCUGAGCUGGGGAUUGAACUCCCGCAAGAGGCUAUCACUGACAGAAUUCUUCAAUCACUGCCGCCAAGCUAUAAGGGCUUUGUGUUGAACUACAACAUGCAAGGGAUGAACAAGUCUCCCGGCGAGUUGUUCGCGAUGCUGAAAGUCGCAGAGUCAGAACUCCGUAAAGAGCAUCAAGUGUUGAUGGUGAAUAAGACCACUAGUUUCAAGAGAAAUGGCAAAGGAAAGAAGGGUAAUUCAAAGAAGAGUGGCAAGCCUGUUGCCAAUCCGACGAAGAAACCCAAAGCUGGACCUAAGCCUGAAACGGAGUGCUAUUAUUGCAAGGGUAUGGGUCACUGGAAGCGCAACUGCCCCAAGUAUCUGGCUGAUAAGAAGGCGGCCAAAGAAAAAUCAGGUAUAUUUCAUAUACAGGUUAUUGAUGUGUACUUAACCAGCUCUCGUAGUAGUGCCUGGGUAUUCGAUAUCGGUUCUGUUGCUCACAUUUGCAACUCGAAACAGGAACUGCGAAAUAAGCGAAGGCUGGGAAAAGAUGAAGUGACGAUGCGCGUGGGAAAUGGUUCCAAGGUUGAUGCAAUCGCCGUCGGCACAGUUUCACUUCAGUUACCAUCAGGAUUAGUUAUGAACUUGAAUAAUUGUUAUUUAGUGCAUGCGUUAAGCAUGAACAUUAUAUUUGGAUCUUGUUUAUUGUAAGACGGUUACUCGUUUAAGUCAGAGAAUAAUGGUUGUUCUAUUUCUAUGAGUAAUAUCUUUUAUGGUCAUGCACCCAAUGUGAGAGGAUUGUUCAUAUUGAAUCUUGAUAGUGAUCAUACACAUAUACAUAACAUUGAUACCAAAAGAGUUAGUUAACAAUGAUAGCGCCAUGUUUUUGUGGCACUGCCGCUUAGGUCAUAUUGGUGUAAAGCGCAUGAAGAAACUCCAUACCGAUGUACUUUUGGAGUCACUUGACUUUGAUUCACUUGACACGUGCAAACCAUGCCUCAUGGGAAAGAUGACUAAAACUCCGUUCUCCGGAACAAUGGAGCGUGCAAGUGACUAAUUGGAAAUCAUACAUACCGAUGUAUGUGGUCCGAUGAGCGUGGAGGCACACGGCGGAUAUCGUUAUUUUCUCACCUUCACUGACGAUUUGAGUAGAUAUGGUUAUGUCUACUUGAUGAAGCACAAGUCUGAAACAUUUGAAAAGUUCAAGCAAUUUCAGAGUGAAGUUGAAAAUCAUCGUAACAAGAAGAUCAAGUUCCCGCGGUCUGAUUGUGGGGGUGAAUAUCUGAGUUCCGAGUUUGGUGCUCACUUAAAACAAUGUGGAAUUGUUUCACAGUUGACACCGCCUAGAACACCACAGCGUAAUGGUGUGUCCGAACGUCGUAAUCGUACUUUAUUAGAGAUGGUGCGAUCUAUGAUGUCUCUUACCGAUGUGUCGUUAUCAUUUUGGGGUUAUGCAUUAGAAACAGAUGCAUUCACUAUAAAUAGGGCACCAUCAAAAUUCGUUGAGACGACACCAUACGAACUGUGGUAUGGCAAAAGACCAAAGUUGUCGUUUCUUAAAGUUUGGGGAUGUGAUGCUUAUGUCAAAAAGCUUCAGCCUGAAAAGCCUGAAAAGUUAUCGUUUUCCUCUAGAUCGCGUUUCUCUGGAGCCCUGCUGAGAUUAGAUCACCACCAACCUCCGGAGCGCCGUCACGCUGCCGGAGAACUCAUCUACCUCUCCGUCUCUCUUGCUGGAUCAAGAAGGACGAGAUCAUCGUCGAGCUGUACGUGUGAUGAACGUGGAGGUGCCGUCCGUUCGGCACUAGAUCGGAGCGGGUCGUGGGACGGAUCGCGGGACGGUUCCUGGGACGAUUCACGGGGCGGAUGAGGGAUGUGAGUACGUUCCACUACAUCAACCGCGUUUAUUAGCGCUUCUGUUGUGCGAUCUACAAGGGUACGUAGAUCUGAAAUCCCCCUCGUAGAUGGACAUCACCCUGAUAGGUCUUCGUGCGCGUAGGAAAAUUUUUGUUUCCCAUGCGACGUUCCCCAACAAACACUCUCAAGGAUAAAAAUCCCCUGCGACUGAAGAUCACCUACUUAAGGGAGUCAAGGACUUCCGCGUCGACAAGAAGCUACACAAAAACCAUGACACUUCUAUUCUAACAUGAGACAUCUAGAUGUCACUAACCAACAUAAGUAACCCCCGGACCAACAUGCAAACACACCAUUGUGCAACAUAUUCCGACUUUGGGAUACACACGCUAACUAGACCCUUGCAUUACCUCGUUCACCACGCCCUCGACCCUUAGUCAAGCCUAGCAUAUUGCAGGAACCCCAAUCACUAUCAAACAAAGCCAAGCGAUGCACUCAGAGCUGUAUCAUCAAGAACUUCAAGAACCAAUCGAGAAAUCACGUCAAAGAAGAAGCAACACAGGAACGUGAAGUCUACCUCAAGCCCGAAUUUUUAUAUCUCUACAACACCUAGCCUAGGAAUCUCGGGGACGAGAUUCUUGUAAGGUGGUAGGUCUGUCACACCCUAUGUUUUUCCUCUCCUAACUAAGUCAACAUAGCUAAAAAAUUAGGACCAAUUAAAACUUUUGUGUGCUUAUGAUGCUUGACUUGAUUGUCAUUGCUUCUGUGCUUGUUUGUGUUUUAAAAUCACAAAAAUCCCCCUUCUCUCAAGACUCAUCUCGUUGCUCCAAAUCUUUCCUCAAUGACCAUACCAUGUGUAUAGGACCUAAAACUAUUUUUAUAAAUAUUAUUUUGACCAAAAAAUAUUUAUGCUCUAUUUGGAUGUAGAUAUUGGGUGCUAGAAGUCAGCUUUGGCAUUGCCCUGGCCUGACUACGGCUGUUUGGAUAGCCUGGGCAUUCGGGUAAGGUAUUCGCGCAUGAUAUCGUAGCAUGCUCCCCAACACUGGAACGGCCCAUUCCGAAUACCUUUCCUCAGCCCUCCGUAUUCAAAGAUUUCCUCACCCCUUCGCUCUCCCUCACAAGAAAAAGGGAUCUCGAGGAAGCGGGAGACUAAGAGGCGCACGAGGCGGCGAUCCCCCGGCAGCGGCGCCCCCUCCGGCAAUCCUUCAGCCAUCCUCCGGCAUCGACUUGACCAGAACCCUCCACCUCGCCCCCGUAAAUCAUUCAGUCCAUUCCUUCCGCAGUCGCCCCUCUCUCCAGAUGGCUUACUACUGUUGCGGUCAGCCAUGGCCAUGGCACGGUGUGGAGGCCAUCGCUGCUGGUCAUCUUAGCGUCGCCGCCGCUCCAAUGCCCAAUGCCCAAUUCAACACUUUAUGCAUCCAAACAAGAUUUGGCAUUGAUCCUUCCCUCGAAUUCCAAGUACCCAAUAGAUAAACAUCCAAACAACAAGUCUCGCAUUGAAGCUCAAUACCAAUAUCUUGGAAUAUUGGACACUGGAGCCAAUGCAAUACCUUGAUCUUGAAUGUCUACAUCCAAACAUAGCGUUAUUUAAUUUAAGCUUUCAAAAAACCCUUAAAAUGAGAUUUGUACUACAAGUCCUCAAAUUAAGGAAUAUGUUUGGCCCCAAAUAUUUUAUUUUGACCCUAUUAUCAAAAAUACUUCCCAAAACCACAAAAACAUUAUUUUAGAAGUUAUUUUCCUAUUUUAUUUAAAUAACUUUUCUAAGGACAAAAAUGGUCUUUUCUAGGGGGAAAUUAUUUUGUGCUUCAAAAAUAUUUGAGAAAAAUUAGGGAUCCUCGAUGGGCAUAUAUUUUACAUAUAUAAGAGUUUCAACACAUUGUCAUGUUCAAAAUAUUCGACAAAAUCCUUCAAAACCUUUUCUGCUUACUUCAAGUAUUUGAAAUAUUUCUAUAAGAAAUAUUCUCAAAUAAUUCGAGGAAAAUUAUAGCAAGUCACAUAUGCCACAUGUGAUCAUCUUGCCAAGUUUAAUCCAAAUCCUAGUUGUUUUGAUGCACCAAAAUAUUCCAGGACCAUCUCUAUCCAGAUCCAAACUUGUGUAAAUUUACAUUGACAAGUACCUCCAUUUGUGCUCAAAUUAUGUGGACAUGUUCUAAUCCUCUAAUCAUACAUCCACACCAAGCGGUGCAACAAGGAGAACAUAUCCACGUGUUUAAAUCCCCCCAACCCCAUUUCUGUUGAUUUCUAGAAUUCGGAAAUUUUUCAUUGUCAAGUUUCUACAAUUAGUACCAAACUUUUUGGGCUUCCUCUAAUACCCAAAUGAUGUCAUCACACCUAGUGGUGCAUUAAGGAGAAUAUAAUUGCAUGACUAGAUCUUAGCAUAACCUUUUCUGCCCAUUUCUAUGGUUUAUAAAGUUUGCAUUGGAAACUUUCAUCAUAUAAUCCCAAAAUUGGUGACAAACCUCAUUUCCAUCUACCAUUUGAUACUCUUAAAUCUCAAGGCAUGUUGAACCUUUUUUCUUGCCCAAAACAGCAACAAACACCUUCUGGUGAUUUGGUAACAACCCUGUUUGAGCCCUUUUACUAUUCUCCUUGGUCUCAAAAUUUUACCAGAGAUCAUCCCAGCUACAUUGCAUCUCUAGUGACCUUUGCAUGGCCAUAGCACAAUCAUUCAUGGGAUAAAAACCCCUUUACCCCCUCUAGAUAGAACCUUUCUCACCCCCUCAGCUUUCCAUCUCAGCAAAGGUAGCCAGCAGAGCAUCCUAUGUGUUUCCCACUUUGUUUAAACCUCUCUUAAGAUUCUGGGCAAAGUUGGCCGCGCCAAAAACGCCAAUGGCAUGCCAUGGCAUUCCAUAUGAGCACUCUAGAGCGUGCUACAAGUGCGCACUGUAACCGGUGCCCAAUCGCCUCCUGAUAACCCAAAAGUAUAGGGGAUCACAAUAGUUUUCGAGGGUAGAGUAUUCAACCCAAAUUUAUUGAUUCGACUCAAGGGGAGCCAAAGAAUAAUCUCGAGUAUUAGCACGUGAGUUGUCAAUUCAACCACACCUAAAAGACUUAAUAUGUGCAGCAAAGUAUUUAGUAGCAAAGUAAUCUGAAAGUAACUGUAACGGUGGCAAAUGUGAGAGUAGCAGUUUUGUAGUGAUUGUAACAAUAGCAAGUAAAAGUACCUCACCAAAGAUCAAUAUGUAGAAAGCUCGUACGCAAUGGAUUAGUGAUAGAUAAUUAUGUCGGAUGGCAUUCAUCAUGCAACAGUCAUAACAUAGGGUGAUACAGAACUAGCUCCAAUUCAUCAAUGAAUGUAGGAAUAUAUUACAUAUAUAGUCAUACGUGCUUAUGGAAAAUAACUUGCGUGACAUCUUUUGUCCUACCCUCCCGUGGCAGUGGGGUCCUAAUGGAAACUAAGGGAUAUUAAGGCCUCCUUUUAAUAGAGAACCGGACCAAAGCAUUAGCACUUCGUGAACACAUGACCUCCUCAAACUACGGUAAUCACCGGAAAGAAUCUCAGUUAUUGUCACCCUGGGGGAUGCGGAUCAUAACUCGUAAUAGGUGUCUACAACUUGCAAGAUAGGAUCAAGAACACAUAUAUAUUCAUGAAAACAUAAUAGGUUCAGAUCUGAAAUCAUAGCACUCAGGCCCUAGUGACAAGCAUUAAGCAUAGCAAAGUCAUGGCAACAUCAACCUCAGAAUAUAGUGGAUACUAGGGAUCAAACCCUAACAAAACUAACUCGAUUGCAUGGUAAAUCUCAUCCAACCCAUCAUCGUCCAGCAAGCCUACGAUGGAAUUACUCACGAACGGAGGAGAGCAUUAUGAAAUUGGUGAUGAAGGAUGGUUGAUGAUGACGACGACGCCGAUUUCCCCUCUCCGGAGCCCAAAUCAGACUCCAGAUCUGCCCUCCCGACGAAGAACGGGAGGUGGCAGCGGCUCCGUAUCGUAAAACGUGAUGAACUCUCUUCCUUUAUUUUUUCAUCCUCAAAAUAGGAAUAUAUAGAAGUGGAAACAAGGUCGAAGGAGCCACAGGGGCCCCACAAGACAGGGGUGCGCCCUACAUGUAGCCAGGUGGUGGCCCCUCUCUAGUUGAUUCCUUCGCCAAUAUUUUUUAUUAAUUCCAAAAAUAUUCCCCAUAAAUUUUCAGGUCAAUUCAAAAACUUUUAUUUCUGCACAAAAAUAACACCAAGGCAAAUCUGUUGAAAACAGCGUCAGCCCGGGUUAGUUCCAUUCAAAUCAUGCAAAUUAUAGUCCAAAACAAAGGGCAAAAGAGUUUGGAAAAGCAGAUACGUUCGAGCCGUAUCAACUCCCCGACCGCCUCGGGCCUCUACAUCAUGUCCCCUGAGACACCCUCGACGUCCGGGACACGCAUCCCUGUCGGCCCCCUCCUCUCUCUCCUCCUUCCUUCCUCAUCCCGCGUGUGCCGAGCGCCGCCCAGUUCGGCUAACCUCGAGCUUCACACGCGAGAUGCCUAUGACCUUGCCCUACUCUCUCUCUCUAUCUCUCUCUCCUCUCCCUCUCCCUCUCUCAGCAAUUGCCACGGACGUCCGUUAGCUCCUCUUACAGUGCACCAUCGGUCGUCUAUAAAAGCCACUGCCACGGCCCUCUCUCCCUUCUGACCACCUUCUCAGUCCCCAAUUGAGCUCCUACUCCUCCCACACCAGCCGCACGAGCCCCUGCACUCGGAUCAGACCCGAGCUCUGUCGUCGCGGACGACCAUCGAUCUCGUGGUACAUGCUCUCUCUGAUCCUCCUUUUCUUCCAAUGGAUCCUCCUAGCCACCCUCGUGUGCUUCCCCUUGUCUUCCUCAUUGAUUGGAGUCGGGGACGACCGAGGUGACCCUCUCCCAAACCCCCUCCGCGGUGCUCGCUCGUCGCCAGCAAACCAGGGUUCUUUGAUGCUCCUCUCCGCCACCAAUCGACGUGCGGCGACGCCAUGAGCACGAUGGUGCCACACCCGCAUCGAGCCACCGCCGGGAACAUCGACAGUGAGGUCCUCCCUGAUCUGGCUAGAGAAGAGUGAUGACAUGCAUCCCCCAUGUGUUAUCCCCUUCAUUCCCUCUCUCUUGCUGAUGGGCAAGGUUCACCUAUCAGGUUUGAAGCGCGGUGUGGUGUGCACCGCUUUGGGUGGUGACAUAUUCUAGGAAUACGCUAUCGAUGUGGCCCUCCUGCUGCCAAGCGAUGUGCCCUGGGCCGGCUCUGCUCGCUCUUUUCAGUCGAGAGUGCACGGUGGCACUUUUCUUUUUUCCAUUUUUUAGAAACUUGCAAAAAUUCCAGAGAGAUUAAUACUUGUCCAAAUUCAUUAAUUCAAACUCCUAAAUUCUUCUAAAAUUCCAUGUUAUUAAAUGGUGAAACUUUAUAUUUUCCACCGCACUUUUUUGUACUUCUCAAAUUUAAAUUCCAAUUUGAGAUACUAGGAGGCACUUUUUAAAAUUCCUAGAACCCACAAAUCAACUCCAAAUGGAGUGAUUAAAAUUCCUAGAUGUUCCAAAAAUGUUUCUUUAUUUAUAUAGCCUUAUUUAACAUUUUUCCUAUGCUAUAUUUUGGUUUGACCAAAUAAAAAGCCCCAUUUUCCCAUUUAAGUCUUCUCAAAAAAUCAUAGGAAAAUCAGCCCAACUCCAAAUCCACUUAAACUACUUUCUAAAUUCAUCUAAAAUCAGGCCCUAAUUAAUAGGCGCAUCCACUCAUUUUUGUUAAAAUAUUUUCUGUAGUUCUUAUAAAAUCAUUAAUCCCUCCAUUUCCACCUUUUAAAAAUUAUUGUUGAUCCAACUCAAGUAGUACCACUUCAGGUAUUUUUCUUGUGACCACAGGUGACCAAGAAAAAUAUAACUCCUAUUUUAGAAGACUUUUAUUUGUCUGCUUGUUGUGUUGCUUAUUGUGGGCGUUUCACACGAUAGUUGACGAAGUAGACGAAGUGCUCGGAGUUGGACUUGAAGCUCGUGAAGACCUCGAAGACUUUGCCGAACUAGUCAAGUGGACCAUUGACCAUGUCGAAGAUACCAUUUUAUGCAUGCCAUGUAGCACUUUUAUUCGGUUACAUUGAAUCAUGAUGAUUCAGUGACCAUCGUGGUGAGUUACCUCGGUUACUUUUUGCUUGUUGAUACUUGCACUAGGUAUGACCCUACCUUCCUAUGAGGGUUGUGCGGGUGAAAAGUAGUUAGGAUGCUAAGUAGUUGCUAUGCAAGAGGGAUGGGAAUAUACAUGUUGUCGGAAAAAAAUGAUUUCAAAGACUUUUCGAAAACCCCAUCGACUGCCACUAAUGCCCGAGGGAGGUGGUGUUGAUCUCGGUAACCACUUGAGAAAGAAGUGGUGUACCAAGGCAAGUGAGUGUGUUGUUUUUGAAAAUUGAUUGGUUUAAGUUGCUACCGUUACUCCAACCUUGCAUGUGCGACUACGAUACCCCUUUAUGGGAUGGGUCUUUGUUGGUUACUUUGGUUGAUGCUUGCAGAGAGCCCACAUUACUAGUGGCGAGAGAGGCAGAGUUACUCUCUCGAUACGAGGUCGUGCUUGGUAGGGCGAGCAUGGGCUGUUUUCACACACACCGGGCACACUGUUAUGUGCCCUCAUGGAUGGUACGGUCUUGAGUGAGGCUCGUAUGAUGUACAUCAUGAAGGAUGGCACCAACGAGUGCACUCUUUGUUUAGUGUCGCCAAGGGAAAGGCAUUGUUCGGGUGCUUGAUAGUAUCCAAUGUAUCGAUAAUUUAUGAAGCAUUCAUGACAUAUUUGCCUAUGUUUCUAAUACUUUUAUAUGGUUUUGAUGCACUUUAUAUGAUUUAUUUAGAACUAACCCGGAUUGACAUUGUUUUCAGCGGAAUUAUAAUGGUGUAGUUUUUGUGUAGAAAAUGAAAGUUCUCGGAAUCGCCCAAAACAUUUUUAUAACUUUUUCUGGAGGAAAUCAGCAAUAUUGGAGCGAAGAACCACUAGAGGGGAGCCACCUGUGGGCCACGAUCCAACAGGGCGCCCCCUAUGUCGUGUCGUGAUGGCUUGUGAGGCCCAUAUGGCUCCGUUUAGCGUGAUUCCAACGCUAAAAAAUCCUAUAUAUGCCAGAAACCCCAGAAAUAAAGAGACAACUUCCGCUCCACCGCCACAACUCUCUAUACCGCUGAAAAACCCAUCUGGAGCCUUUCCGGUACCCUGCCGGGGAAGGGAAAUCAUCUCCAGUGGCCAUCUUCAUCAUCCCGGCGGAGGCCAUGACAAGGAGGGAGUAGUUCACCCUCGAGGUUGAGGGUAUGUACCAGUAGCUAUUUAUUCGAGCUCUCUCUCUCUCUCUCUCUCUCUCGUGUUCUUGAGUUGGCACGAUCUUGAUGUAUCACGGGCCUUGUUAAUAUAGUUGGAUCAUAUGUUGUUAUUCCCUCGCUACCAUGUUGUGAUGAAUCGAAUAUUUCCCUUCAAGAUCUUGUUAUGUUGGAUUGAAUAUUUUGGUUUGAGAACACUUGAUGUAUGUCUUGCAUGCGGAUACCCGUAGUGACAUUGGGGUAUUCAAGUGGUUCACUUGAUAUAUGUUAUGGCAUCAACUUGCGGAUUCGGUGACUUUGGGGAUCUAUGCAUAGGAUUUGAUUACACGUUUUCAUACUAUGUUCUCCGAUAGAACUCUUGGGGUGCUCCUUGAAGUUCUUUGUGUUGGAUUGAAUAUGAUAGAUCAGAAAUUAUUUGAUGCAUGUUGCAUAAUUUACCCACGGAUACUUGAGGUGACAUUGGAGUAUCUAGGUGGCAUUAGGGUUGAUUGAUAUGUAUCAUGGUUGUUAUUCUAGUACGAACUCUACGGUUGUUUGUAACACUUAGAAUAGCUCAACGGAUUGAUCGGAAAGAAUAACUUUUAGGUGGUUCUACUACCUACGCCAAUUUCAUCUUAUUAUUCUCCACUAGAUAGGAACUUUGGAGUGGUUCUUUGUUGCACUUUGAGGGAUGAUCAUAUGAUUCUAUUAUGUUAACAUUGUUGAGAGAUUGCACUAGUGAAAGUAUGAAUCCUAGGCCUUAUUACCAAGCAUUUAUACAACAUUUUGAUCGUUGUUUUACACUUGCUACCUUGAUGUUUUUAUAUUUUCAGAUUAGAAAACCUAUACCUACUAUCCAUACUACACUUGUAUCACCAUCUCUUCACUGAAGUAGUGCUCCUAUACAAUUUUCCAUUGUAUUGGGUGUGUUGAGGACACAAGAGAUUUCGUGUAUUAGAUUGCGGGGUUGUUUGAGAGAGACCAUCUUCAUCCUACACCUCCCACGGAUUGAUAAGCCUUAGGUCAUCCAUGUGGGAAAAUUGCUACUGUGCUACAAAACUUUGCACUUGGAGGCCCAACAUAGUCUACAAGAAUAAAGUUGUGUAGUAGACAUCAAGCUCUUUUAUGGCAUAGUUGCCGAGGAGGUGAGUGCUUUCAGGUAUAUAUUUAGAUCUUGCAAUUAAAUCUUUUAGUAUCUUGUUUUUCACUAGUUUUGUUUAUAAAAAAGAAAACUACAGAAAAUGGGAUUUAGGUUGCCUCAUUUGUUUCGACUCUAUAAUGUCUAUUAUGAAAAUGAUGGUUCGGAAAAUUGUGCUCAAUUGCUAUAGGAAUAAUUUAUGUAAAUGCUUAAUGUGAAAUCCUUGAAUGAUGAGAAUGAUAGCAAUAUUGUUGGUAUAAAUUCUCUGAAUAUCCAUCAUGCUAAUGAUAUGCAAAGCCACAAGCUAGGGGAUGCUAUAUUUGAUGAAGAUGCUAUUUUUAGUCCCCCAGGUUUUGGUGAGCAAAUUUAUUAUGAUGAACUCAUGCCUCCUAUCUAUAUAAGGAAGUGAGCCUACCUCACUUGUCUAGUGGAGUGGAUGUACAACCCAGCCACCUGGGUUCAAGUCCCUACGGGCGCGAAUUUAGGUUCUUAUUAUUUCCCAAAAAACCUCGAUGUGGGGUGUUUCCCUUACAGUUUUCCUUCAAAAAACAUCUAUGCUAUAAAUAAUAAGGAUAACCAUGAAACUUGUUAUCAUGAUUUUAAUUUUCACAAGGAUUAUAUCAAUCACGUAUCUCAUGAUAGUUAUUUUGUUGAGUUUACUCCCACUACUAUGAAUGAGAAGAAUUUUGCACGUGUGGGUAGUAAUAAAAAUUAUAUGCUUGUACAUCAUGAAAAUAAUGCUUUAUGUGAUCAUUAUAUUAUUGAAUUCCUUCAUGAUGCUACUAAAAAUUAUUAUGAGGGAGGAACAUAUGCUUGUAGGAAUUGCAAUAAUAUCUAGUUUCCUCCCUGUGUGUUCAGAGUUUUGAAGUCAUGCUUGUUUUGCCUUCCUAUGCAAGAUGAUUAUUGUUACAAUUAAUUGUUUGAUUAAAAAACCCUAUGCAUAGGAAGUGGUUUAGACUUAAAUGUUCUUGUCAUGUGAUUCAUGAUGCUCUCUUCCAUGCCUCAGUUACUACUUUUUAUACGAGCAUCAUUAAAAUCAGCAUGCCUAGCUAAAAGGUAUUAAAGCAAAACGCUUUUUGGGAGACAACUCAACACUUUUCUUUAUUUAUUUUGUGUGUUCACAUGAUUAAUCUACUGUGCAAUCAUGUUUUAUAGCUUUUGUUUCAAUAAAGUUCCAAGUAAAACCUUUGGAAUAGUGUGCAUACUUGUUUGUUUGAUUUUGUGUAAAAACAGAAACUUUUACGUGAGGUAUAUGAAUUAUGUGAUUUUACUAGGCCAUCAAAAAAUUCUGAAUUUUGUACAAAACAAUUACAUGCAAAUUAUCUGCGGUUUCCUAAUUUUUUAGAAUUGUUAGAGUCGGGAAAGUAUGGUGUCCAUUCAGAUCUUCACAAACUGUUCUGUUUUUUACAUAUUCUGUUUUGCAUGCAUAGUUUGCUUAUUUUAAUGUUUACAUAGCUUAUAUUUGGUGAUAUAAAAUAUGGGAAUGAUAGAAUAAAGUAGGUAUCAUGUGAUAACAAUUAUGAAUCUUUUCAUGACAGUACCUAAGUGAAUGAUCUAUCUUUAUUACACUAACUCAUCUCACAAAGUUUCGUUAAGUUUUGUGUGAUUGAAGUCUUCAAAUUUUAGGUAAGAUACUGAUAUUAGGUAAAUAAGGAGAAUAAAGAACCUAAGAUUGGACACCCGCAAGGUAAUAUCCAAGGAGUACUCAAGCGUCUAAGCUUGGGGAUGCCCCGGAAGGCAUCCCCUCUUUCGUCUCCAACAUUAUCGGUAUAUCUUAAUUGGAGCUAUAUUUUUAAUGUUCACAUGAUAUAUGUUUCAUUUAUAGCAUCAUUUUAUUUUUAUUCUCUGUUAGAUGUUAUUUAUAAUCUUUUUUUUCAAUAAAAAUUUUCCAAGAAUUGCCUAUAGAAUGCUUGAAUUACAUGUGUGAUGUGUGCUGUACAAAAACAGAAACUUUUGCAGUAGUAUUCGAAUUAUCAGAUUUUACUGGAACGUGGAAAGUUUCUGAAAUAUAUACACAGUACUUUAAUACAAAUUCUUUAUCACGUCCUAAAUUUUCAGAAUUGUUUGAGUUACAUAAGUACACUAUUUAAAUAGAUUUCUACAAACUGUUUUAUUUGGACAGUUUGUUGUCAUAGUUCUGUUAUAUACUUAUCCUAGAGUUUUCAUGGCUUAUAUUAGUGGAUAUAAAUUGUGUAAUUUAUAUUAUACGGUACCUAAUGUUCUAAAAUUAUUAUGCAACUUGUCUUGGCAGUACAUGAAGUGUUGAUUUAUUCUUAUGUGUACUAACAUAUCUCAUGAGUUCUUUUCAAGUUUUGUGUGGAUGAAGUUUUUAAGACUUAGGUGAAACCGGAAUAUGAGAGGAUUGAACGAGAUACAAAAUCUCAAGCUUGGGGAUUCCCAAGGAACCCCAAGUAAAUAUUUCAAGAAGUCUUAAGCAUCUAAGCUUGGGGAUGCUACGCAUCCCACUUCUCUUCGUCAACAAAUAUCGGUUUGCCUAUGUUGAGCCUAAAUUUUUAUUUGUUCACAUGAUAUGUGCUAUUCUUGGAGUGUAUUUUUGUUUUCUUUGUUGUUUGAAAUAAAAUAUAAGAGCUGAAAAUCUUCAUUGAGAGAGAUUCCUCGCAUAUCUACUUAAUUGUUUGACUACUCAUUGAUCUUCACUUAUAUAUUUUGAGAGUAGUUUGAUUGUUUGCUCUUGUGCUUCACUUAUAUCCUAAGAAUAAAUUUUGAAUGAAUGAAAUAUCAUAAAUAUGAUGUGCUUUAUAUCUUGUAGUAGUUACCCAUUUGGUUUAGAAAAGUAAAAUCUAUUGAAGUUUGACAAUCAUUGUAUUGGCCAUAUGAGCAAUUCAUGAAUGAUUAGUAUAAGAAAGAGAACUUUCACAUUCAAAUAUAUUAUCUUGGACAUAUUUUAUUAUUGUGAAUAGCCAUUAAUUAUUUUCAGCCUCGAUCAAAUAGUUUAAGUUGGACAACGAAGACAACGUAAUGGUUAUGUUUCGGUAUAUUUGCAUAGAAGUUAUAUUGUUAUGGAUCCUUCAACAUGUGGUCCAUGAGAGUCCAAGUUUCUUUGAGGUGACAUUGGAGUAUCUAGGUGACAUUAGGGUUGAUUGAUAUAUAUCAUUGGUGUUAUUCUAGUACGAACUCUCGGGUUGUUUGUGACACUAGUAGGAAUAGCUCAACAGAUUGAUUAGAAAGAAUAACUUUGAGGUGGUUCUACUACCUACACUGAUUUCAUCUUAUUGUUCUCCGCUAGAUAGGAACUUUGGAGCGAUUCUUUGUUGCACGUUGAGGGGUGAUCACAUGAUUCUAUUAUGUUAACAUUGUUGAGAGAUUGCACUAGUGAAAGUAUGAACCCUGGGCCUUAUUACCAAGCAUUUAUAUAACGUUUUGCUUGUUGUUUUACACUUGCUACCUUGUUGUUUUAUAUUUUUCACAUUACAACAACCUAUAUCUACUAUCCAUAUUACACUUGUAUCACCAUCUCUUCGCCGAACUAGUGCACCUAUACAAUUUUCCAUUGUACUCGGUGUGUUGGGGACACAAGAGAUUUCUUGUAUUUGAUUGCAAGGUUGUUUGAGAGAGACCAGCUUCAUCCUACACCUCCCACGGAUUGAUAAAUCUUAGGUCAUCCACUUGAGGGAAAAUUGGUAUUGUCCUACAAAACUCUGCGCUUGGAGGCCCAACAUAGUCUACAAGAAUAAAGUUGCAUAGUAGACAUCAGUGCUUACCUCGGGUAUGCAAUAUACUGCGAGUUAGGGUUGACACGGGUGUUCCUUGAGGCUUGUGGGCAAAGUGUGCAACCUGUGCGGAGUGUAAAACUAUUCAAAUAGUUGUGUCCACGGGCAAGGACAGUUGGAUGACUACUCUUGGGCUACGCCCAAUGUUUACAAACUUGGUGUGUGUGUGUGUGUAGGUGAGAAAGGUGAUAUUUGAGCUAAGUCAUAUGACCUGACAUGAUAAUUGAACAUGAUAUGUUCAACCCCUUCCUAUAUUGAUAGCAGUAACUUGUUCAUAUGGAUAUCUACAACCUCAUGAUGCAUGCUUUUACAAGAUGAUUGAUCAAGUCUUUGCAGUCAAAACUAGCUUUCUGUAACUUAUAUGCUUAGUGUUAUAUCACGCAUUGUUAUUGCCUUGUUUCAAACAUGGGUUGCUUGCAAGUACAUUCAAAAUACUCAUUGGCUUGCCACUGGCAAUUUAAUUGGCCACGCAUUAAAGAGCAGGAAUAUGGUGAAGAGUUCAUUGGUGCCGAACGUGCGAACUAGGACGCUUCCCUGUUAGAAUGCAUGUGGGGUUAAGGCAGAUGGCAUGGGUUCACGCUAUCGAUGAAGAUUUUUGCUGUGAGUUUAUGAAGACUUGGUCAUGAAGGCCAUAUCUGAGUAAAACGAUGCAUAAUGGAUGUAAGGCUCUUGUUAUUCAGUUUUUGUGUGUUUAAUGAGCAUUGAUCUCUGAGAUCACUAUGCACGUACAUUCGGUGAUCAUGACUUAUGAGUCGGGGUCCCCACGGGUGGCAUGAGCUCAGCUCUAAUAUUCGUGAACUUGGCAUCGCCCUCUAGCUACGUCGAUUGUUUUCCUUCCUUUGUUGAUUGGCCUUCAGCAGCUCCGCUGUGUAGUUUUGCUUCUCCUCGUGUGUAGUUCUCAUUUAGUUUGAUGCUUCCCUUCGUUGAGCUCAAUGUUGUUUGGUGCCGGUGUCCUGGUGUGGUCUUCCGAUUGGCAAUGGCGCCGAUCUCAGCCCUCAGGUGGCAUCUCCACCUUCUGACGGAUCGACACCCUUCGUGUCGGGCGAGGGGAUAGGGAGCCCCCUAUGAAGGUGGAGGAGGUUGGCAUCGUCGUCCAACGCUCUUGGAGCUGACAUGGUGCUCUUCCAUCUAUCGGUUGGUUCUUCCCUAAGCAUUUGCUGGUGUCCUGCGUGGGGCUCUACUCGAUAUGGAGGACUUCUUCAACAUCUACAUGUAGUUGUGCUUUAGCUUCCAUAUCUUUACUAGUAGUUCGUGGUAGCCUGUUAGCUAUUUACACAACACCUUGUAUCGUCUCGCUGUUUUCUUUUCUAUUUUUCUUUGUUGUUCGAUGUAAUCCUGGUCUCUUGGUGGCUUUGUUAAUUCAAAGACGGCCUCUUCUGGAGCCUUCGUUGUAAAAAAAUUAAACGGGGAGGAUCCUAUUAUGUGUGUAACAUAUAGGCUAUAUCUUGGUUACUACAAGAUAUACCCUCGUCUCGCCUCUAUCGCUUCACUAACGGAUCGACCUAAUAUUGUAGCUUUCUAGAAGCAAAUAUUUGAAGCUUCUACGGACUGGUUUGGACUAAUUUUAGAAAUUUUCAUUAGGUUUUUUUCCAUCUUUGUUGUCAGUUGGACAUUUCUUAGAUACAUGUUGAACAUUUUUCAAAUACACGUUAAACAUUCUCUUGAUUACAUGUUGAACAUGUUUCUGAAGCGCAUGAAAAAAAAAUGAUGAUCAACUUUUUGAAUAACAUGAACGUUUUCUACAAAUUUCGCUAGCAAUUUUUGACAUUACAUGAACAUUUUUCAAUGUGGUGAUUUUUCUAAAAAUAAUAACUAAAUUAAUAUUUAACAAUAUAUAUUUGUAAUAUUUUGAAAUAUAAACAAAAAUAUAAAAUAAUGAAAACAAACGAUCGAAGCAAUCCAGCGUACAUUGCGCCUAGCAGUUCUACUCUCUGGCAACUGGUGCAGCAUGGUGUUUCUUAUUUCCCUUUUUUUUAGAAGGUCCGUUUCCAAUUUCCCGUGUAACACCUGUAGUACGGGGCUAACCGACUCGAUUAUUGUCCCACUCAAUUAUUCCUGCAUAUAUAGGGUCUCGCCUGGAAAAAAAAUUCUGUUCUUCAUUUUAGGCCGUUUUCUUACAAAUAUUUUGGAACAAAAAUUACUGAACAUUUUAGUUAAUUCAAUCCUAUCGAGAACAUGUAAAAUUCAAAUUUUGAGAACAUUUCUAUUUUAAAAAAAUAUUUUCUAAUUCGAAGAAUUUUUACAAAUUUCAGAAUAUUUCUUGAAUUUCAGAACAUUUAAUUAAAAAAUCAAAUUCUAGAACAGUUUGUUGAAUUUGAGAAUUUUUACAAAUUUGAACAUAUUUUCAAUUUGAAGCUUUAGAAAACAUGUUUUUUCAAUUUCAUGAUUUUCAGAAUUGUACUCCCUCCGUCCCAUAAUAUUUUAUUUUCUGAACUUUUUAAAAAUCUGAGGACAAUUUUAAACUUAUGAACGUUUUUUGAACUUUGGAAACAAUUUUUGUGUUUCUUAUCACAGCCGUUCCUUGUGGCAGAAAUUCUUACUGCUUCUCCAGGAGAGUAUCUUGCUCUCCAAGAACAGGCUUUUUGAUAGCCCCUAAAAACCGGGCCUGAAAACCAAGCGCUUGUAUAAUUUUUGAGUUUGGCUUGCCCGUUGAUCAGCCCGUAGGGAAUAUUACAGUUCCAAAGGCGCAAUGGUUGCUGGGCCCCGCAACCUUCAUAGCAUGGAUCUCUGACCUAAUCAAGAAGAUGGAGGCACAACACAUAGUAUGGAUCUUAUUUUUGCUAUAGCACCUAUCACAGAUGGCAAGAGACACACCAGGUGGCUUUGUCCCAUACACAAGUUUGUAGGAGUUCUCUUUAAAAAAAAUGAACAGCACCCUUUCAUUUUUAUUUUUUGCGAGAUCCUUUCAUCCAUUCUUAACUUGUUCAUUACAUAUAAUGGAUAUUUGCAUGUAAUGGACGAUCCAGGCUCAUCGGCACCCGCGUUGAAUAAUUUUUUUAAAACAAAUACUAAAAAAUCAAACAAAUUAAAAAAAUGCAUGGUAGAUAUUUGGGUGCCUGAGGUGCGCUCCAAAUUUCAAACCAUUUUGACUUCAGAGUAGCUCUAGCAAAAAAUACAAAUUUGGAGUUUGUAAAAAAAGUUUACUGUUCAUGUUGUCUUUUUUUGCUGAGAGCUACUUAUAUGCCCAAAUCAUCUGAAUUUUGGAGUGUACCUCACGCACCAAAUUAGCUAUCAUGCAAAAAAAAAUUGGAUUCUUUUGAAUUUGUUUGUGAUUUUUAUUAACUAUGUGCAGAUGAUCCUGGGCUCAGAAAUGAAUAUCGCAUAUAAUGGUCCUAAUCUCGUCGGGAAACACAUUAAACCAGCUAGACUCAACAUUAUGUCCUACAAAUUUUGCAAGGACAUGGGCCGCCUCAACACAAAAAUGUUUUACAUGACCGAAAUCACAUGAUCUUAAUAUCCUGGACAAUGGCACCAAAGGGGGUCUGUUUAGGCCAGUAUACUGUAGCUUGUUGAUUGGCGUCAGACAAUCAGAAGCUACCUGAAACUUCUGAAAUCCAGCAUUUUUGCCAAGAAACAGCAAGAACUUCAGCCACUUCAGGACUUUUGGUAUGAUCAAAUGUUCUCGGUAUGUUGCCACAAGCGCUCCUAGAUGAUUUCGAACCACAAUUCCAUAGCCACCUCAUCCCGAGUGGGAGAAAAUUGCAGCGUGGACAUUUAUCAGCAACCGACCUUCCGGUGGGGGAGACCAUUUCUGAGUUGAUGUCGGGAUCUCAGUUUGGCAGGCUGAUAUUACAUAAAUUCAUGAAUUCAGUAUAAGCCUUGAUUUUCCCCCACGACACGAAGAGGAUUAAGCAGUGCCUCGCCAUUACGAUAGUUGUUCCUGUUCUCUAAAAUAUGGCACAUAGCCACCGCCAGAAUCGUGAAAGUUUUGAGUUCUCUGUGUGUCUGUUGGGGGGGUUACAAAAGAAUUACAGAAGUUCGUAGGAGUUAGAGAAGAUGGAGGCAUGAAGCAACCAAGUGGGCCUUUGGUAAAGCUUGAGGCAAAGCCAAGGGGAAGAGGGGGGACCACAACAAAGGUUUAACGCGGCAACAUUGUUACUAGAAACCAAUGGGGAAUGCGACCGGGGUUCACUAGAAUUGGAGAAGAUGAUGGCAAGCGAUAGUGCAAAGAGGCGAUGACGAAGUGGUGCCAUAUAAACUACUGUUUCCUCACAAAGAAAAGAGGUAUUGUUUGCAUAUAAAUUACAGCUCCAUACAAAGUAGUCAAGGCUUGAAGCAAUACAAACAGUAGUAUACUGUUAUAUAUGUAAUGAACAAGUUAAGAAUGGAUGAAAGGAUCUCGCAAAAAAAUAUUAGAAUUGCUCUGUUAUAUAUUAAGUGUCGCUUAUUUAGUACUCUCUCCGUUUCAUAAUACUAGAUGAUGCCACGCACGUUGCUGCAGGAAACAUUAUAAACCGAUGUAUAAAUAGAUGUUGUAAAACAAAAACUAUUGCUAAAAAAUAUUAGAAUUGCUCUGUUUUUUAUUUUAAGAACAAUAACUCAUAUGAAGCAUUUGACAGAAGAUGCGUAAAAAAGUGAAACAUGAUCUACAUGUAUUUGCUCUAAAGUAUAUAUCGUUUAUGCCCAUAACAAAAAUUAGUGAAAUAGUGUGUAGAUUAGUGCAUACAAUAUAACUUAUGAUCACAUGCAUGACUUGAUGAUGUGGCAUGGUUACAUUAGAAAAAAUAAGUAUUUAUGACAAAUGCAUGACUUGAUGAUGUGGCAUGGUUGCAUGAGAAGGAAAAAUAGGUAGUGGGUUUUAACUAUUUAAGAAUAGAAGAUGGUGUGGCAUGAUUGCAUGAGAAGGAAAAAUAGAUAGUGGGUUUUAACUAUUUAAGAAAUAGAAGAUAAGAGCGAGCGUUUUUUACGCCACUAGUGUACAAACUCCCUUAUUUUAUGAGAGUGGUGUAAAAAAGGCCUUAUGUUACUCCCAGCAGCCCUAAAUAUAAGUUUUUUUUGACAUUUUACUGUGAACUACAUACGAAUGUAUGUCAUAUUUUAGAGUAUAAAUUCACAUAUUUUGCUCCGUCUCUAGUGGAAAUAUCAGAGUACUAAACAGUAAACACUUAAAAUAUGAAAAAAAAAUAGAAAAGGAGGAUGACCCCCGGCCUCUGCAUCUGGGAGAUGCAUAAGGCCACUUUAUUAAUUAUUCUCGAGGACUUUACAAAGUAUUAUAACAAUAUGCAUGAAUCCAUCAUCUUGGCAAAAAGUGCCGCUACUCCUAUCCAUAUGAUCUAGGGGUGCUAGUUGUGCCCUUAUCCAGACCACUCACGUGAGCCUAACAUCAAAAGCCGGAAGCCUCAGCCGAGCCAAAUACUUAAAAUAUGGAAUGAAGGGACUGUAUGACAAGGCAAUGCAAUGCAGCAGUGGUGGCAAAAUACAGAUAAUCUGUCCAUCCAAAGUACUUCCUCCGUUCCAAAGUGUUGAGAAGAUUCAUUAUGAAGUUCGUAAGUUUUUUCGUAGGCCAAAUUUAAAGUAAUAGCUUCACAAGUGUCUGGAAAAAUCGGCAAAUGUCUAGGAGUACAAUAUAAAAUAUAUACUGCAACAUGAAAUACAUUUCAUAAUUAAAUAAUGCUUGUAAAGGGCAUGUUUACUGAAAUGUUGAUUCCCUGCUGUGAUAACCACACAUUUUCAACAUUGACAAGAUACUGAGAGCACAAGCAUCUGUAGGCUAUAUGAAAUCAGAUAACUUUAGUGUAUGUAUCCAUAACAGCUCCACACGAACGAUUCCAGCGGCAAUAAAAUUCAAAGCAAAGUAAAUGACCAGCGGGCAACAUAAGCAUCAUACACGAGAACUAUGCAUCAAUACUGCAAUCUGCUUAUCAUGUUUCUUGAUGAAUUCCAUAAUAACAAUGCCAGCUCCAAACUGCGUGGGAAUGAGCUGAGUUUUACAUAUACAUAUGCAAAAGCAAAUUUGGUGGUUCUGUAAACGACCGAACCCGAUUUUAGGAUUAUGUACAGGAGCAUCUAUUAUAAAGAAGAUACUUGAGAGCAUAGCUAUCGCCAUGCUGCGCCUUCGAUCGUGGAUCACCAGGUGAUCAUUUGCAGAAUUUAAUCACCAUGGCCGUUGGCUGUACCAAUGCCGUGAUGCAAAUGUUUACGCGCUGCUCUUCUUGCCGUCAAUUGCAAUGCCAGAGAAAGCACCUAUAGGCUUGGCCAGGGUACGCCUCUGAGCCUUCACUGACAGUGGGCUGUCCUUGGCCUAUUCAUGAAGCAACAAAACCAGUUAGAAUCAGAUACCUAAGACUCCUAGUCAACUUGCUAGAGAUUUACAUGACAUCAUAACCACAUUAAUUGAAGAAAACAGUAUGAAAUGGUCUGAGCUAUUACCGCAAGGCACGUUCCCUGCUUGGUGUUGCAGAUGGGAUAGUUAUGAGGGCAGCAGCUGUAGUGAUCAUCGCAGCAGGUAGCACCCUCAAGUGGGCAACAGCCCCAGGCGAAGCACUCCUUGCCGUACUCGUAGAUGCAGCAGCAGGUCGUGCUCGCAGGGCACUCGUUGUAGCUGUCACAGACGGAAGACGGUGGGGCGGGAGACGGUGGAGUUGGGCCGGGGUUAGGGGGGUUCUCGCCCGUCUUCGUCGGGUAGGAAGGCUCGACAGCAAUACCACAUUUGCCACUGGAUGCCUUGAUGUUACGCUCCAUCCGGAUGUAACCAUCCUCUCCCCAGACGCUACCCCAGGAGUUCCUGACGAGCCAGUAGUCCUUGCCAUUCUCUGUACCAUAACCAACGGCGGCGACACCAUGGUCAAGUGCUGUUCCACAGGUUCCCGUGAAGAUACCCUAAGAAAAUAGGAAGUGAUAAUCAGUAUAAAUCAAAUGCUUCCGAAAGGUCGAACUCAUCGAUUUCAAAAAUGCUAGUUACACAUCGUUGAGGAAUUUACUAAUUGACAACAGUUUUAUCUGAAGAUGCUAUUUGAGUUGUUUUUUUGUAGUCUGGAUUUCCUCUUUUACUGUUUGAUCAAAUGAGUAGCGAAAAGGGUUUAAACAUCUUCAGAACCUGAUGUUCUACUUUAUUGAUUUCCAGCAGAAGUGGGUGAUAGCUCAGACCACUUAAUCCAAUAUGUUAUAGAUGUGAACACAUAAAAGUGACCCGUGCACUAAAAGUGCUUCCUAAAGCAGGGACAGAUGGGCAUGAUGAGCGCAUAGAAACGAUACUCUUGAAGAUUAGAAAAGGUGCAAAUUAUAUGGAUGAUGUCAAAGCAUGCAAGAGUCAGGCUGCGUCCAAGUUAACCAUAAUUGAGCGGUGGUAGUUGCAGAUUGCAACUGAGGUGAGGACAACAACAAAAUUAUUUUAGUGAAGGAGACGAUGAUAGAAGUUAGGUGCGUGGGCCAAACAGAGUAACAUAUUCAUACCAUUAAGAGAAAAUGUUCCCAAGCUCUCUCAAUCAGAAUGAUACCUAUCUAUUUUGGAAAUAAGGAGGUUCCAAUAACCUUUUGGUGCCUACUCAUUUGAUCAACCUACCGCAGAACAGUGAUGUUAAAGAAGCUCACCGAUUUGUAGAGCUGGAAUGCCCUGCCACCAGCCUCGAUCGCAACACUGAUGGGCUGGUUUGCAACUGCCUUUUGCAGACUCUUCUCACUGUUCACAGGCACAUCCUCGUACCCAUCAAUGGUAACAACCUUGGCAUUUUUCUGCAAAUUUCCCCCAAACACAAAUGGAACAGCAAAUCAAUAUGAUGCACACUCUUAAUAUUCAGAAGGGAAUUAAGAAGACGGAUGAUACCUUGUUAGCAUCGCAACGGUUGUCCCUCUCCUUGUAGGGGUAGUCCUCCUCAGAGUCAAUACCACCAUUGUUAAUGAUGAACUCAAAUGCAUAGUCCAUCAGACCUCCAUUGCAUCCCUGGUUGUAUGAAGUGUCACAGUCAACAAGCUCUUGCUCGGACAGAGGGAUCAUGUCGCCUGUGACAAUCUGGUUGAUGCCUUCGACAGCUGCUAUUGCUGAGAAAGCCCAGCAGCUCCCUGUAAAAGACAAACAAAUGUCAGAUUCCAGUAUCUUUGUGUAACGAUUUUAGUUGUAGAUCAAUGCACUGAUACAAGUGGCAAGUAGUAACAGAGCAACAAUACAUAGUGGUACAAAUUUCUUGAAAUUGCAGAUGAAGACAUGCUACCAAUCAGACGGCGAAACGUUCAAAGAGUCGUGAGGGAGAUGUGUACCCAAGGGCAUAAUGGACUUAUGUCAAAUAAUAGCAGAGGUGGAUGGUGAGACCACAUCCAACAAAUAACAGGACAAAUGGGUCCGCCAGCUUAUCAACUAGACAACGACCGCCACUACUUUGUAAUUUUCCUCCAUUGCAUACUCCAACAGCCUAAUGGAAUCAUGUGAAAUAAUAUCAGUACUAACUUAAUGUCCAUGUUCAAUGAACCUACUUCCAAAAUACGGAGUACUACGUAUAUCCAAACUCAUGAAGAUGAUGCUAACAGAGCUGUACUGACCUUCCAUAUUAGUAAAUCAUUCAGUACUACCACUGAAUCUAGCAAGUGAUACCAGAAGCUCUGACAGAAGCACAUACCGAAAAUAAGGUGUCCCAAUUGCUGAAACCUGAAUGACACUAUAACAUACUGCUACUAGAGACCAAUUAACACAUCCUACCAAAAUAAAUUUAAAUUUAAGAAAUUUUUAUUUUACUUCUGUGUGAAAUUAUACGCCGGCCUAAGAAUCGCAGAUCCCCUUUUCACUGUUCAAAUCGUUUAGGUGAAGCCUCUCAACAGCACCAAUUAUUGCACGUUCCCCUGCUUUCUGUUCAUGUGUAUACUAAACCAUGGCACGUUGACUAACAAAGUUCCCAAUUUACGCAACAGAUUGGAAUAUACUAGUCGCAAGAAUCUUCACUUAAAACCGUUAGUAUCCACCGAUAAUACUGCAAAAAGGAAACAAAAUAGAAGCAGCAGCAGCAGCAGAUGAGUCGAGGAUGCUUUGCUUACCACAGCCGCCCUGGUCCUUGACGGCACCAACUGCGCCCUUCUUCCUCCAGUCGACGGACUCGGGCAGCUCGUCGUUGUCGGCGGCCUGGUACCUGGCGCUGAGCUUCCGCUCCCGGUCGGGCUUAGUGCGGGCGCCGAGGUAGGUGCUGCGGUACUCCUCGUUGGUGAGGUCGGCGAAGCGGUUGAGGCCGAGGCGGAAGGAGUGGACCCCGGCGUCGGCGGCGGCGUUGUGCUGGUCGAUGUAGCGGAGGUUGUCCCGGAACGCCUCGAAGCGGCGCUCCUCCUCGCCGAUGGCGUUGUACGUACUGCCGUGCUCCGCCAUCCACUCGGCGUACAUCCGCCGGACCUCCUCCUCGCUCCGCUCCCCGUAGGACACGAUCGACAUGUCCGCCGCCGCCGCCAGCGACACCAUCAGCAGCAGCGCCGCCGAGGCCGCCAGCAGAGCCAUGGAGGUCCUCAUCCCCGAGACCAGAGGUGCGUCACCGAGCAGGAAGAGAGGGGUAGCAGAUGGGAUGGAUUGGGUAGCAGCCGUGCUUUUCUUCUCCAUGGACGAUGGUAUCGGAGGUCGCUUUAUAGGAA
This 25383-nucleotide long non-coding RNA is filed under the name Hordeum vulgare. RNAcentral describes it as "long non-coding RNA (HVUL_LNC005807)". The record is from RNAcentral. Lineage: Eukaryota; Viridiplantae; Streptophyta; Magnoliopsida; Poales; Poaceae.